CCUACGGGUGGCAGCCGUGGGGAAUAUUGCGCAAUGGGGGCAACCCUGACGCAGCAACGCCGCGUGAUUGAAGAAGGCCUUCGGGGUGUAAAGAUCUUUAAUUGAGGACGAAAACAAUGACGGUACCCAAAGAAUAAGCUCCGGCUAACUACGUGCCAGCAACCGCGGCAAUACGUAGGGAGCAAGCAUUAGUCGGAUGUACUGGGUGUAAAGGUCGAGUGGGCGGGCUGGGAAGUGUGGAGUGAAAUCACGGGGCUUAACCCCGGAACUGCUAUUCAAACUACUGGUAUUGAGUGAUGGAGAGGCAGGCGGAAUUCCGUGUGUAGCGGUGAAAUGCGUAGAUAUACGGAGGAACACCAGUGGCGAAGGCAGCCUGCUGGACAUUAACUGACGCUGAGGAGCGAAAGCGUGGGGAGCAAACAGGAUUAGAUACCCGGGUAGUC
Molecule: ribosomal RNA, 443 nt
Filed under: uncultured bacterium
Lineage: Bacteria
Description: partial 16S ribosomal RNA
Rfam family: Bacterial small subunit ribosomal RNA
Source: RNAcentral